CGCCAGUCUGUCUAAUCUACAAACGGUAGCCGGCCAUAUAGCUACAGCGUAAAAAAAAAUCGCGGGUUGGUUUAGUUAUACAUAACCUAACAUUUAUGUUGUGAACUACGAAGUAAAAAUAUAAGGUGGGAGUUUAGUUUGCCAUGUUUUUAUUUAUAGUAAUUGAAAAUGUUUCUAAUGUGUUGGUUUUUUAUUUGGUUUGAAUUUUAAUAGAUUGUGUUAGAGGAACUGAAGGGCAAUCUUCAAUCUGUUAUGUAGGCAUACGACAAAUGAGGUGAACGACAAAUUGGUCUGCAUUCCUACAGAAGAUUGACGUGUUCUCCAAACAAGAGUGGCUACUAUGUAAUCAUAGUAUCAGCAGCUUUUUCUGGCCAGAAAUGGAAUGUUUGGAGGGUUGGCAGUAGAUGAAAACAUAAAAACUACUUCUUGCUAAAACUGUGCAUAUAAAUAAUUUUUAAAUAUAUCAGAGAAUAUUUUCUGUUA
RNAcentral lists this unclassified non-coding RNA (483 nucleotides) under Homalodisca vitripennis (glassy-winged sharpshooter). RNAcentral's name for it is "uncharacterized LOC124369766, transcript variant X3". Lineage: Eukaryota; Metazoa; Arthropoda; Insecta; Hemiptera; Cicadellidae. The record is from RNAcentral.